Molecule: transfer RNA, 75 nt
Filed under: Trichonephila clavata
Lineage: Eukaryota; Metazoa; Arthropoda; Arachnida; Araneae; Nephilidae
Description: tRNA-Ala
Rfam family: tRNA
About the family: Transfer RNA (tRNA) molecules are approximately 80 nucleotides in length. Their secondary structure includes four short double-helical elements and three loops (D, anti-codon, and T loops).
Source: RNAcentral
GGGGGCGUAGCUCAGAUGGUAGAGCGCUCGCUUAGCAUGUGGGGUACGGGGAUCGAUACCCCGCGCCUCGAAUCA